Molecule: ribosomal RNA, 273 nt
Filed under: Trachurus picturatus (blue jack mackerel)
Lineage: Eukaryota; Metazoa; Chordata; Actinopteri; Carangiformes; Carangidae
Description: partial 16S ribosomal RNA
Rfam family: Bacterial large subunit ribosomal RNA
Source: RNAcentral
AAGGUAGCGUAAUCACUUGUCUUUUAAAUGAAGACCUGUAUGAAUGGCAUAACGAGGGCUUAACUGUCUCCUCUUUCCAGUCAAUGAAAUUGAUCUCUCCGUGCAGAAGCGGAGAUAAGAACAUAAGACGAGAAGACCCUAUGGAGCUUUAGACACAAAGGCAGAUCAUGUUAAACACCCCCCAAUAAAGGCCCAAACUUAAUGAUCUCCUGUCCUAAUGUCUUCGGUUGGGGCGACCAUGGGGAAACACAAAUCCCCAUGUGGAAUAGGAGG